AAUAGAAGGUCCCGCCUGCCCUGUGACUAUAUGUUUAACGGCCGCGGUAUUUUGACCGUGCGAAGGUAGCGCAAUCACUUGUCUUUUAAAUGGAGACCUGUAUGAAUGGCAUAACGAGGGCUUAGCUGUCUCCUUUUUCAAGUCAAUGAAAUUGAUCUCCCCGUGCAGAAGCGGGGAUAACACCAUAAGACGAGAAGACCCUAUGGAGCUUUAGACACCAAGGCAGAUCAUGUUAAACACCCCUUCACAAAGGACUAAACCAGAUGAACCCUGCCCUAAUGUCUUUGGUUGGGGCGACCGCGGGGAAACAGAAAACCCCCACGUGGAAUGGGAACACUCCUUCCUACAACUAAGAGCUCCCGCUCUAAUGACCAGAACUUCUGACCAAUUAGAUCCGGCAACGCCGAUCAACGAACCGAGUUACCCUAGGGAUAACAGCGCAAUCCCCUUUUAGAGCCCAUAUCGACAAGGGGGUUUACGACCUCGAUGUUGGAUCAGGACAUCCUAAUGGUGCAGCCGCUAUUAAGGGU
This 530-nucleotide ribosomal RNA is filed under the name Kyphosus vaigiensis (brassy chub). RNAcentral describes it as "partial 16S ribosomal RNA". It matches the Rfam family "Bacterial large subunit ribosomal RNA", at positions 1844 to 2572 of the family's 2925-position model. The record is from RNAcentral. Lineage: Eukaryota; Metazoa; Chordata; Actinopteri; Centrarchiformes; Kyphosidae.